CGUGAACCUUCUCUAUAAAUAUACGUUCUCUGACAAUACUAUGAUGUUUCAUUGUGGUAUUUGUAUAAACACAGCCAAAAAACAGGUAACAAACUUUGCUAAAAGCUUUUACACAAAAGCUCUUCGAAAUAUUCUGUCAAAAUGACUUAAAAAAAUAAUUAUUGAAAUAGAAAACAAAAUAUUUUUCACAAUUUUUCUUCCGGAAAAGCAGACAAUGUCUCAUUUAUGUGAGAAUUCUAGAGAGACUUUAACCAAAUCGCUUUUUUGCGAUGAAAAUAGAUUAACUUUACAGUAUUUGAAAUAAUUAUACUUAUUGGACCUAACUGAAAAAAAAGUUAUAGUAAAACCGUAAGAAAAAACCCGUAAGAAAUAACCCGUAAGAAAAAGACUGUAAGAUCGCUAGUUAUAGCCUACCUUUAGGUUUUGCAAAAUAAUUAUGCUUGAAAAUCUGUAACAUUAUUGUGUAUGCAAAUUAGUUUUGGGUGAGAAUUGUGCUUGCACUAAGUACGUUUAUUGGGAGUUGAAUUGUUGCAUAUUUUUUGGCGCAGGUUGUUUAAUGGUUUGAGGAAAUAACCCGUAAGAAAAAGAUUGUAAGAUCGCUAGUUAUAGCCUACCUUUAGGUUUUGAAAAAUAAUUAGGCAUGAAAAUCUGUAACAUUAUUGUGUAUGCAAAUUAGUUUUGGGUGAGAAUUGUGCUUGAAUUAAAUAUAUAGGAUAACGCGUGGUGCUUUUCGCUCAGUUGUCAAUUUUACCGUGCGAUUCUGUAACUUGAGACAGUCUCAAGUCUCUAAAUUUGAGAUUUUAAGUUAGAGACAAUUUUUGAGACUUGAGAUGAUAUUGCUAUUCUGUAAGCGACAGUCACAAAAUCUAUUACAUUUCAUUAUUCAGAGAUGUUUUUACACUUGAAUGAAAAUAAAUAUGUCGAUAACAAAUAUUAAAUUUUCUAUAACAUAGUCAAAAAACAUAAUUAUCAAUGAAAAUAAAAAUAUAUGUUGACUUUGUUUCAUAAUAUUUACGAAAUUUAUAUAAAAUUGGUCAGCAGGUCAGUUGUUUUGUUUUCAAAUCUUAUGUGUACAUAUCUACUUCUAACAAAGGAAUGGAAAUAUUAAUGGUUUUGGGACUAUUUGUAUUUACAUUCUUAUUGUUCUUAUUUUUACUGAUAAUGAAAAGUAUUUGUACACAUAUGUGACUAUCUACAACUAGUACUUAUAACUAUACAUAAAUAUUUAUGUUGUCUUAGCUGCACUUAAGUUGUAAACAAUGUACUCGUAUAUGUAAACAUGUACGUAUAACCAAAUACAUGUGUAACUGUCUAUAACUAUCCCCUCCCUUAAACAGAUGCGUCCCGAAUCUGCUUUAGGUUACCUUCGAUAGUUUUCAUCAUCAGGUCAAAAUGCUCAUUUGUAAAAAGGUUACUUUGUUGCGAUGGGUUGGAAAAUGUGCUGAUUACUGUAUCUGAUCUUUUACAUUUUAGGUACACAAUUAUUGUUAUUGAAAUGAGGACAUACCAAUACAUAUUUCGUUUUGAUGCAUCUUCACUAAAUUUUUCUAUCUUCUGUAGGUUUUGUAUGUGUAUUUGAUGCAGGUAAGGUAGCGUUGGGAUUGUGGCAUGCUCGGAGAUAUUCAAUUUGAAGCGGUUCGUUAAUUCAGGCACCAUAGAUGGACUUUUUUCGCUCACCGGGUACUUUGUAUUAUUUAUUAAAAUAUCGUUGUCGUACAUUAUUAAGAAUGUCCCCAUCAAUUCAUUCGUUUGGUUUCCUUCCGUUAAGAUUAUAUUCUGGUUGUUGACUAACAGAAUGUUUUCGUCGAUUUGGAUGAUCGGAGGUACAUGGUAUGCUGUAGUUGUCUUACAGGUUGCCGAAAUGUUGUUUAGCAUUUGGUACAUGCAGAUAUCAAAUGUAUCAAUUUGACAGAAAGGGAUAGUUACAGUUUCCUUGCAGUUAUAAAGCGGACUACGCCCUGCAAGACGGAGGUAACAGAUUGCACAAACACAUUGAAACAUUUUCAGCUGUUCACUAACACUGUUACAUUUUCUGGAAUUUUCAAUUGAAUGGGAAAAUACGUAAGUAAGAUAGAGAAAAACUAUCGACAUUCUAAACAUAUUGUAAUAUUAACUUGCUAGAAUAGGAGAGACGAAUGCCCAAUUUUUCAAGAAGAAGAAAACGAAAAGCGCAGUUUAUUUUGGUUUUUAAAGAGAGUAAACAAAAAAGAUUAACAACGAGAAAAAGAAAUCAUUUGGAGCGUUUGGAUGCGUAUAACAAAGACGCACCAUUCAAUUAGCCGCAUCACCGGUGACUUGGAGGACGAGCAUUACGUGGAGCUCGCUAUUAGUUUAAGUAAAUAUUUCAUUAUUUUGAUGUUAUUAUUAAAUAAAGCGAAAUAAUAAAAAAACUGAAUUUUAUUUAAAAGAAUUGAAUUUGCUAGAAGUAGCAAAUGGGUAACAGAUAAUCUUGUUACUGCUUGUUCUUGCUAACAUGCUUAUAUGUUAUAGGUAACAAACUGAUAACGAAAAUAAUAACACUAACAGAUAUUCGGGUAACAAAUAC
Molecule: long non-coding RNA, 2545 nt
Organism: Bactrocera neohumeralis
Lineage: Eukaryota; Metazoa; Arthropoda; Insecta; Diptera; Tephritidae
Exons: 3
Source: RefSeq, a predicted model, not a curated record